RNAcentral lists this ribosomal RNA (253 nucleotides) under uncultured bacterium. Its description in RNAcentral is "partial 16S ribosomal RNA". It matches the Rfam family "Bacterial small subunit ribosomal RNA", at positions 524 to 776 of the family's 1533-position model. The record is from RNAcentral.
UACGGAGGAUGCAAGCGUUAUCAGGAAUGAUUGGGCGUAAAGCGUCCGCAGGUGGCUGUGUAAGUCUGCUGUCAAAGAGAGAAGCUCAACUUCGUAAAGGCAGUGGAAACUACACGGCUAGAGUGCGUUCGGGGCAGAGGGAAUUCCUGGUGUAGCGGUGAAAUGCGUAGAGAUCAGGAAGAACACCGGUGGCGAAGGCGCUCUGCUAGGCCGCAACUGACACUGAGGGACGAAAGCUAGGGGAGCGAAUGGG